Molecule: long non-coding RNA, 548 nt
Organism: Oncorhynchus tshawytscha (Chinook salmon)
Lineage: Eukaryota; Metazoa; Chordata; Actinopteri; Salmoniformes; Salmonidae
Source: Ensembl
GCCAAAUUGCUGUGGUCUGAUGCGCAAUGCCCCUUCUAGUAAUUUUACUACUAUGAGGUGGUGGUAAUUUCUGCCUCAAGUGAAUAACUGUGUGUGACAUGCUAAUUUGAGUUGAGCUAAUCUGUGUACCUAGUGGGGUUUCUGGAGAGAUGUGCAGUGUGUGUGUACCUAGUGGAGGUUCUGGGGAGAUGUGCAGUGUCUGUGUACCUAGUGGAGGUUAUGGGGAGAUGUGUGUGUGUGUGUGUACCUAGUGGUGGUUCUGGGGAAAUUUGCAGUGUGUGUAUCUAGUGGGGGUUCUGGGAGAUGUGCAGUGUGUGUAUCUAGUGGAGGUUCUGGGGAGAUUUGCAGUGUCUGUGUACCUAGUGGAGGUUCUGGGGAGAUGUGUGUGUGUGUGUGUGUACCUAGUGGUGGUUCUGGGGAAAUUUGCAGUGUGUGUAUCUAGUGGGGGUUCUGGGGAGAUGUGUGUGUGUGUACCUAGUGGUGGUUCUGGGGAGAUAUGUGUGUGUGUGCAUCUAGUGGUGGUUCUGGGGAGAUGUGUGUGUGUGUGU